Pongo abelii (Sumatran orangutan) is the source of this 146-nucleotide unclassified non-coding RNA. It matches the Rfam family "Metazoan signal recognition particle RNA". From Rfam's summary of the family: The signal recognition particle (SRP) is a universally conserved ribonucleoprotein. It is involved in the co-translational targeting of proteins to membranes. The record is from Ensembl. NCBI's taxonomy places the organism in Eukaryota, Metazoa, Chordata, Mammalia, Primates, Hominidae.
GCCAGGUGUGGUGGUGCACACCUGUGGUCCCAGCUACUUGGGAGACUGAGGCAGGAGGAUUGCUUGAGCCUGGGAAAUUGUGGCUGCAGUGGGCUGUGCACACCACUGCACUCCACCCUGGGCAACAAAGUGAGAACCUGUCUCAA